RNAcentral lists this transfer RNA (85 nucleotides) under Verrucomicrobiota bacterium. RNAcentral describes it as "tRNA-Leu". It matches the Rfam family "tRNA". Rfam says of the family: Transfer RNA (tRNA) molecules are approximately 80 nucleotides in length. Their secondary structure includes four short double-helical elements and three loops (D, anti-codon, and T loops). Lineage: Bacteria; Pseudomonadati; Verrucomicrobiota. RNAcentral also lists the same sequence under 2 other names. The record is from RNAcentral.
GCGCUUGUGGCGGAAUUGGCAGACGCGCUACUUUGAGGUGGUAGUGGGGCAACCCGUGCAGGUUCAAGUCCUGCCAAGCGCACCA